CCUACGGGAGGCAGCAGUGGGGAAUCUUGCGCAAUGGGCGAAAGCCUGACGCAGCAACGCCGCGUGCGGGAUGAAGGCCCUCGGGUUGUAAACCGCUUUCAGCAGGGACGAAGAUGACGGUACCUGCAGAAGAAGCCCCGGCCAACUACGUGCCAGCAGCCGCGGUAACACGUAGGGGGCGAGCGUUGUCCGGAUUUAUUGGGCGUAAAGAGCUCGUAGGCGGUUCCGUCAGUCGGGUGUGAAAACUCUGGGCUCAACCCCGAGAGACGCCACCCGAUACUGCGGUGACUAGAGUCCGGUAGGGGAGUGCGGAAUUCCUGGUGUAGCGGUGAAAUGCGCAGAUAUCAGGAGGAACACCAACGGCGAAGGCAGCACUCUGGGCCGGUACUGACGCUGAGGAGCGAAAGCGCGGGGAGCGAACAGGAUUAGAUACCCUGGUAGUCCACGCCGUAAACGUUGGGCACUAGGUGUGGGACCUUUCCAACGGGUUCCGUGCCGCAGCUACGCAUAGUCGCCCGCCGUGGGAGGUACGGCCGCGACGACGUAAACUACGAAGGAAGUAGACGGCGUGAGACGUGCCGACGGACGACGACGAGGGAGAGG
RNAcentral lists this ribosomal RNA (603 nucleotides) under uncultured bacterium. RNAcentral's name for it is "bacterial SSU rRNA". The stretch from base 1 to 520 matches the Rfam family "Bacterial small subunit ribosomal RNA", at positions 338 to 873 of the family's 1533-position model. The record is from RNAcentral.